UUUGACGGCCAUAGCGGAGGGGAAACACCUGGUCCCAUCCCGAACCCAGAAGUUAAGCUCUCCGCGUACCGUCUUGUACUAUGUUGCGCGAGCACAUGGGAAGGAUGGUAUGCUGUCAAGC
Molecule: ribosomal RNA, 121 nt
Filed under: Thermoplasmatales archaeon
Lineage: Archaea; Methanobacteriati; Thermoplasmatota; Thermoplasmata; Thermoplasmatales
Source: RNAcentral